Molecule: ribosomal RNA, 594 nt
Filed under: uncultured bacterium
Lineage: Bacteria
Description: bacterial SSU rRNA
Rfam family: Bacterial small subunit ribosomal RNA
Source: RNAcentral
CCUACGGGAGGCAGCAGGGGGGAAUUUUCCGCAAUGGGCGAAAGCCUGACGGAGCAAUACCGCGUGAGGGAAGAAUGCCUACGGGUUGUAAACCUCUUUUAUCAGGGAGGAACAAAAUGACGUGUACCUGAUGAAUAAGCAUCGGCUAACUCUGUGCCAGCAGCCGCGGUAAGACAGAGGAUGCAAGUGUUAUCCGGAAUUACUGGGCGUAAAGCGUCUGUAGGUUGUUGAACAAGUCAACUGUUAAAUCUUGAAGCUCAACUUCAAAAUCGCAGUCGAAACUGUUUGACUAGAGUAUAGUAGAGGUAAAGGGAAUUUCCAGUGGAGCGGUGAAAUGCGUAGAUAUUGGAAAGAACACCGAUGGCGAAAGCACUUUACUGGGCUAUUACUGACACUCAGAGACGACAGCUAGGGUAGCAAAUGGGAUUAGAUACCCCAGUAGUCCUAGCCGUAAACUAUGGAUACUAGAUGUUGAACAGAUCGACCUGUGCAGUAUUAAAAGCUAAACGCGUUAAGUAUCCCGCCUGGGAAGUAUGCUGCAGGAGUGAAACUNAAAGGAAUUGACGGNUGAGAGNGCGAGAGACACGAGGAGAG